Molecule: ribosomal RNA, 253 nt
Filed under: uncultured bacterium
Lineage: Bacteria
Description: partial 16S ribosomal RNA
Rfam family: Bacterial small subunit ribosomal RNA
Source: RNAcentral
UACGUAGGGUGCAAGCGUUAAUCGGAAUUACUGGGCGUAAAGCGUGCGCAGGCGGUGAUGUAAGACAGGUGUGAAAUCCCGGGGCUUAACCUGGGAACUGCAUUUGUGACUGCAUCGCUGGAGUGCGGCAGAGGGGGAUGGAAUUCCGCGUGUAGCAGUGAAAUGCGUAGAUAUGCGGAGGAACACCGAUGGCGAAGGCAAUCCCCUGGGCCUGCACUGACGCUCAUGCACGAAAGCGUGGGGAGCAAACAGG